GCCUACGGCCAUACCACCCUGAAAGCGCCCGAUCUCGUCUGAUCUCGGAAGCUAAGCAGGGACGGGCCUGGUUAGUACCUGGAUGGGAGACCGCCUGGGAAUACCAGGUGUUGUAGGCU
Molecule: ribosomal RNA, 119 nt
Organism: Xenopus tropicalis (tropical clawed frog)
Lineage: Eukaryota; Metazoa; Chordata; Amphibia; Anura; Pipidae
Source: Ensembl